UUUGACCUUCAUUUACCCUUUCUCAAACCCUAGCAGCCACAACACCAACUCUAGCCGAUCCUUCAGAACCCAAAACUGAGCCCAUCUCUGCAAUAGCAUCGGCUUCUCCAGGGAUAAAUCAAGACGGGCUCCCUGCAGGUCAGGGUGUCUUGCCAAGUACAACCAGGUCACAGUCAUGACUCAUGAUCACCAGCAAUAAUCUCAUCAAGGUCCCAGGAGGAAUCACGAGAAUUCACUGCCGAAUUGGUUUUUUUUUUUAAGUUUAUUUGGUUGCUGGAAAGAAACCGUGAAAUGAAGGGCUCUAGAGUAUGAUCAUUUGUGCCUCAAAUUUGGUAAGGUUUCUUUCCCCUAUAUAAUUUUGAUUGGUACUUGUAGAUUUUCAUCAUAAAUUAUUGUAUUCUCUUGCAAAGUUCAUUUUUGACACUUAUGUAAACUUUAACCCACUUCACCAGAUAACUUAAAUCUGUUUUGUUUGAUCAUUAUGUUAUAAUAUUCUAUGUGGUUGCAAGUUUGAAAAAUGGAGGGAGACAGAUCAGUUAUGAACAAAUUAGCAUGGUUCAUCCUA
RNAcentral lists this small RNA (565 nucleotides) under Malus domestica (apple). Its description in RNAcentral is "sRNA MD17G0215400". Lineage: Eukaryota; Viridiplantae; Streptophyta; Magnoliopsida; Rosales; Rosaceae. The record is from RNAcentral.